Molecule: unclassified non-coding RNA, 240 nt
Filed under: soil metagenome
Description: partial contains 5.8S ribosomal RNA, internal transcribed spacer 2, and large subunit ribosomal RNA
Source: RNAcentral
AACGGUCUAUACCUGCGGUACCUGCGGAAGGAUCAUUACAGAGUUGCAAAACUCCCAAACCAUUGUGAACGUUACCUUCUCGUUGCUUCGGCGGGCGGCCCGGGUCCUUCCCGGCGCCCCCCGGCCCCUCGCGGGCGCCCGCCGGAGGUAAACCAAACUCUUGAAUUGUAUGGCCUCUCUGAGUCUUCUGUACUGAAUAAGUCAAAACUUUCAACAAUGGAUCUCUAGAUCGGAAGAGCA